UCGCUGUGAUGAGUGAUUCUUAAGCAUUUGUAGCUUCCACCAAAAGCUUAGCUA
RNAcentral lists this small nucleolar RNA (54 nucleotides) under Pteropus vampyrus (large flying fox). RNAcentral's name for it is "Small nucleolar RNA SNORD14 (ENSPVAG00000028094.1)". Lineage: Eukaryota; Metazoa; Chordata; Mammalia; Chiroptera; Pteropodidae. The record is from RNAcentral.